Long non-coding RNA from Pollicipes pollicipes, 546 nucleotides. RefSeq lists it as uncharacterized. Lineage: Eukaryota; Metazoa; Arthropoda; Thecostraca; Pollicipedomorpha; Pollicipedidae. The record is from RefSeq and is a predicted model, not a curated record. The transcript is spliced from 4 exons.
AAAUCAACAAGAUAUACCAAGCAAUCACAAGAUGAAGAUUACUAUUUUGAUCUUCAUGGUCUCCAUGGCGAUGACUUGUGACGCCUCCUUCUGGCAAGCCGGGUCGGCGCGGUCGGCCCGGGCCGGCGACUGCUCCACUUGUCCUGACUCGUGCUGCGGCGGCGCCUGCUGCGACGGCCCGUCCUGCUGCGGCGGCAAGUGCUGCGGCGGCAUCUGCUGCGGCGGGUCCUGCUGCAUCGAUGGCAUCUGCUGCAGCGGCAAGUGUUGCCAUGGCCAGUGCGUGGCCUCCAUGUGUCAGGUAUAAACUUAUCUGCCGUUACUGUGAAGCCGACAUUCGGAAAACCAAUGGAGGGGCAGAUCCCCGGAAGCCGGUCUGGAGGCCGUGCGGUCCUGGCGCUCGGCGUCUGAUGCCCGACACACGCAGAAGACGCGCCGGUCCAGUGCAAUAGUGCAGUGUUGACGGUCUGCGCGCGCUUAAAUUGUGCUUGUCGAUGACCUUUUCGGUUGGACCUGUUUAAUAAAAAGACGGAGUUGUCCAGGCAAAAG